This is a non-coding RNA of Zonotrichia albicollis (white-throated sparrow), 848 nucleotides long. The record is from RefSeq and is a predicted model, not a curated record. NCBI's taxonomy places the organism in Eukaryota, Metazoa, Chordata, Aves, Passeriformes, Passerellidae.
CUUCCUCCUGCUGCUGGUCCCAUCUAUUGAUUCCCAGCUGCUGCCUUUCUACCUAAGCCUUGGUACAGAGGGAGAUGGAGUCAAACACAAGGUCCCCACUGGAUCUUUGGGAACGGCUCAAGGUGCUUGAAAUUCCCUCAGCCACAGGACUGUGGGUCUGUGCUGGAGCCACAAUUACCUCAUCACUGAUUCCACCUGGCCAGCCUUGUUGUCCUUGUUGUGGACACUGAGUGACAAUGGCAGUCCCCAGCAAACUGGGCACUGAGCUCUGGGCUGAAUCUGUCCCCAGCUGCCUGUUUAGGGCAAAGAUUAAUGACAGGAAAUAACCCCAAGUGCCUUCCCUGGGGACUCCUGUGCCUUGGCUCCUGGCUUACAAUCUCUUUUUCCUGCUUUAAGGCUGUGACAGAAGCACCUGGGCUGGAUGAAGCCAGGCCAGGCCCUGCCAGGGAGGACAAGAGGGGACAUUUCAGAGCAUCCUGAUAACAAAACGUGGCUUCAGAUUGCUGAGAUAACGCUGAGUGCCGACUGCACAUCAGAGAGGGAAUAACUUGGCUGGAAGAGGCUGGAUUGAUCCGCAGGGAAAAAUGUUCUGAGCGGGGCUGGGAGCGCUGGCACAUCGCAAACCCCAGCACAGCCCGGCCAGAGGGGGCCGGGACUGCGGGGAUGCCCGGGAGCUGCCGGCCUGGGCGCGCUCCCUCCGGGGGUUUGGCACCCUCUGCUGUCCAAAAAACCCCAGAACACCCCGGGAACCGGGCCGCUCGGGGAUGUAAAGGAGCAAAUCAAACUCUUAACGGAGUAAUUUUGGUGAUCAGCCCCCCAUACUCUUUCUUGCUGCAGCAAGUACUGAA